GAUGAACGCUGGCGGCGUGCUUAACACAUGCAAGUCGAACGGAAAGGCUCCUGCUUGCAGGGGUACUCGAGUGGCGAACGGGUGAGUAACACGUGGGUUAUCUGCCCUGCACUUCGGGAUAAGCUUGGGAAACUGGGUCUAAUACCGGAUAGGACCGCAUUUUGGAUGGUGUGGUGGAACGUUUUUUCGGUGUGGGAUGAGCUCGCGGCCUAUCAGCUUGUUGGUGGGGUAAUGGCCUACCAAGGCGUCGACGGGUAGCAGGCCUGAGAGGGUGUACGGCCACAUUGGGACUGAGAUACGGCCCAGACUCCUACGGGAGGCAGCAGUGGGGAAUAUUGCACAAUGGGCGCAAGCCUGAUGCAGCGACGCCGCGUGGGGGAUGACGGCCUUCGGGUUGUAAACUCCUUUCGCUAGGGACGAAGAGUAAUUGACGGUACCUGGAGAAGAAGCACCGGCUAACUACGUG
Molecule: ribosomal RNA, 466 nt
Filed under: uncultured bacterium
Lineage: Bacteria
Description: partial 16S ribosomal RNA
Rfam family: Bacterial small subunit ribosomal RNA
Source: RNAcentral